CACAUAAUUAUUGAUACGCUACUAAACCACGGGUCUAUCGUGUGCCCUUUAAUACAUGUUGAUACAUACCAAUAAAGAUAAUUGGCUAAGUUCGGAAAAAAGACAUACAUAAAUUUUAUACAUUCCCUGUGUGAACUAUGUGCUUUCGAUUGUGUAUACAAUCUAUUCGAUAUUUUAUUUAUCAACGCAUUAUGUAUUCGAUUAAGUUGUGUAAUGGAAUAUCUUUGUGAAAGUUCGAAACAAAAAGAUUCUUCCGCUUUGUGUGUGCAUGAUGAUGUAAUUGUAUUUACAAGUCUGCCAAUUUUAUAAGACAAAAUUUCAACCGGGAUAUAAGUUAUUUGUGUAUUAUACACUUCUACACUGCUUUGCAUCUUUAGCUCAACAAAUUGAAUCUGAAGUUUAUCAAGUGUUGGAUUGUAUAAAUAUGUGUGCGGUUUUUCAAUCAAUUGUUUUGGAUUAUAUAACCAUGAGUGGUUCAUGUGACCAUAUCUAUAUUUUGCAGGUAAGUAACUAUUUUUUAUAAACAUUUUAUUAUCGUAUGUUUUAUUGAAUUUCAGGUGUUGUUGAGAAAAUGUUGUACUGAGACUAACGAAUCUCGUGUAUGGCUUAUCGUUGAUUGACACUGCGUGUUGUGUUACUAAAAAUAGCAUAGGUAAAAACCCAAAUAGUCUACUUGUUUUGAUAAUAUUGAACAGCUGAUUUCUAAAAGUUUGUUCUAUACAAGAUUGUUCUAUACGAGAGUCAUUACUAUAACUUUCAAUAGUUUUGUAGCAAUUUGUACAUAUUGAUUUUACUACUAAGUCG
Molecule: long non-coding RNA, 804 nt
Filed under: Mytilus galloprovincialis (Mediterranean mussel)
Lineage: Eukaryota; Metazoa; Mollusca; Bivalvia; Mytilida; Mytilidae
Source: RNAcentral